Molecule: non-coding RNA, 45 nt
Organism: Schistosoma haematobium
Lineage: Eukaryota; Metazoa; Platyhelminthes; Trematoda; Strigeidida; Schistosomatidae
Source: Rfam
AUCCAGCUGACGAGUCCGAAAUAGGAAGAAAUGCGCUUCUUAGAU